GACUGGCCUGGCCGGGGUCGACUUAUGCACGUCUAUAAAUGAGUGCCCUGCCCAAGCAGCAGCAGGAUCCAGAACACCUACUGCAAAGCCUCUCCAACUAGCCACAGCUGACCACACAUAGUACAUGCGUAUAACUUGAGCCAGCCAGCCAAAGCAACGAUUAUGGCGUCCAUGGCGAGAGCUGCCCGCCUCCUGCUGGUCGCGCUGCUGGUCAUCUCCGCGGCGGUCACCGGCUGCCAUGGCUACAGCAUCGGUGGACCGGGGUUAAUCCCCGAACCACGGAGCGGGCAUGGAAGACCCUUUGAUCCUUUAUACCCACGUCCAUGCCGCGGACUGAGAUGCCGGACGCUGCCGCCACGCGGCCGCGGUGGCGCACCCUACCCCUAUGGCGGUCCUCCUCCCCCUCCCCCUCCCCCGGACAACGGAGGACAGCCUUGAUGCUUGGCAUGCAUGCAAGAAAGCUACGACCUCUCACCGAACUGAUACUAAUACAUGGAAUAAGACUAAAGUUUGGUGUUUUCCCUAAUACGUGUCAUGUAUACAUGGAACAAGAAAGCUAUUACAUGGAAUAAGACUUGAGAGUGGUUUUUCUAGCGGUACGGUUUCUACCGGGUAUUCACACACCACACAAUCGUGGUCCGAGAUUAUGGUCAACAUAGUGAUAGUGCAUUAUACGUAUUUCGAUGGGCAGUACAUAAUCUCAACCCAUGUGUACAUCUGUACAUGUACGAAACAGUAGUAAUACCAUGUGGGGCUCAUGUGUGAGCCAUGCUUCACCCAUAUCUCCGCUGGGCGCUGGCUGUCCUGUCCUGUGACCUAAAUCGAUAUAUGCGGCCGUCCUCUACGC
RNAcentral lists this ribosomal RNA (847 nucleotides) under Triticum aestivum (bread wheat). Its description in RNAcentral is "partial small subunit ribosomal RNA". The record is from RNAcentral. Lineage: Eukaryota; Viridiplantae; Streptophyta; Magnoliopsida; Poales; Poaceae.